AGUGAACGCUGGCGGUAGGCCUAACACAUGCAAGUCGAACGGCAGCACAGUAAGAGCUUGCUCUUACGGGUGGCGAGUGGCGGACGGGUGAGGAAUACAUCGGAAUCUACUUUUUCGUGGGGGAUAACGUAGGGAAACUUACGCUAAUACCGCAUACGACCUACGGGUGAAAGCAGGGGAUCUUCGGACCUUGCGCGAUUGAAUGAGCCGAUGUCGGAUUAGCUAGUUGGCGGGGUAAAGGCCCACCAAGGCGACGAUCCGUAGCUGGUCUGAGAGGGUGACCGGCCAACAUGCGCCUGAGUGACGCCCCCGACUCCUGCGGGAGGCAGUGGUGGGGAGUAUUACCCCAUCGUCGGAAGGCUGAGGCAACGCCGCCGCGUGCGCGAUGCCGGCCUUCGGGUAGUAAAAAGAUCCCAGCCCGUAAGCUGCGAACGUGACGGUGCGUUCAUAAGAAGCACCGCAUAACUACGUG
This 472-nucleotide ribosomal RNA is filed under the name uncultured bacterium. RNAcentral's name for it is "partial 16S ribosomal RNA". It matches the Rfam family "Bacterial small subunit ribosomal RNA", at positions 29 to 507 of the family's 1533-position model. The record is from RNAcentral.